UACGGGGGGAGCAAGCGUUGUUCGGAUUUACUGGGCGUAAAGGGCGCGUAGGCGGCGCAACAAGUCACUUGUGAAAUCUCCGGGCUUAACCCGGAGCGGCCAAGUGAUACUGUCGUGCUAGAGUGCGGAAGGGGCUACUGGAAUUCUCGGUGUAGCGGUGAAAUGCGUAGAUAUCGAGAGGAACACCUGCGGCGAAGGCGGGUAGCUGGGCCGACACUGACGCUGAGGCGCGAAAGCCAGGUGAGCGAACGGG
This 253-nucleotide ribosomal RNA is filed under the name uncultured bacterium. Its description in RNAcentral is "partial 16S ribosomal RNA". It matches the Rfam family "Bacterial small subunit ribosomal RNA", at positions 524 to 776 of the family's 1533-position model. The record is from RNAcentral.